GAUCACUUGCAUUACGGAACACGAAAUUAUUGUUUCUCAUCAGAAAAAAAGAGACAAACAGAAGGUCUGUCAGAGGCAUCAAACCACAAUGAGAGAUACACGUCUCGAGUCAAGGCAACAUGAAAAUAUAUCCGAGAUCUCAGAAGCAGUCCCCAAACUACCAAUCAGGAGGAGACGCAGCAUGUAUCUGCCUCCACAAUUGGGAGGAGAGACCCCAGAUACAGACCCACCACUACCACAGGAUGAAGCUUCUGCUGUGGUCCCUGUACUCAGGAGGAGAGGCAGCAUGCAUCUAGCUCUAGACAGUGAGUAACCAACUCUGUUAAAACACCUGAACAUCUCACCAUUAAUCUCCUGUCCUUGUAUCUUCUACCCUACUGUGUGUUCAGUUUCAUGGUGAUCCUAGAGUUCAGGUUUCAUUUACAUUUACAUUUAGUCAUUUAGCAGACGCUCUUAUCCAGAGCGACUUACAGUAAGUACAGGGACAUUCCCCCGAGGCAAGUAGGGUGAAGUGCCUUGCCCAAGGACACAACGUCAUCUGACUCCCCAUUACAUUUUUAUAUCAUAUACACACAGUUAUUAAAAACCUAAAACUCUUCUUAACUAUGGCGGAGUGGAUGAUCUAAGGGAAGCACUCCCUGCCUCCUCGAUGCAACACAUCGAGGAGGCACUACUGACGUGAGGGUCACCCUGGACAUUCAUACCAGAUGUUCACCUGUGGAGAGGCAGAGGAAAGAGGAGGAGGAGGAGGUCAGGAAGAGAAUGGAGGAGGUGACUAGGAUGCAGGAGGAGGAGAGGAAGAAGAGAGAAGAGGAGAGGAAGAGGAGAGAGGAGGAGGAGAGAGGAGGAGGAGGAGAAUAAGAAGAGAGAGGAGAUAUUGGCCCAGCAGAGACUGAAUGAAAAGGCAAAACGUAGGGAAAAAAGUCAGAAAAUAAAAAAAGGUGUGCUAUCAACUGCUGGAACUACAGGUGGAGUUGCUCUCAUAGCUGGGACUGCAGCACUUGCUGCUGCUUGAUGUCAUAAACACAUUCUGUUCUAAGGUCUAUUUGGGAAAUAUUCAGUAGUGCAUCUCCAACAACUUGAAAUUGCAUGUGUAGUAACAAAGCAUUUAUAUCAAAUUAUAUAUACUUAUGAAUGUGUUAUGGAACAGCUCCUUUCACAUUGUAAUCUAGUUAAAACCGGCUCAUAGUAGUUUUUGGUUUUAUAUGCUGGUGUUGAUGUUACAUGUUGUGAUGUAUUUUGUUGUUAACUAAUGGAAACUAUCUAAUCACUUAGUCUAAUGAGGGGUACUCAAUACUGGGUUAUUUGUUUAAAUGCUUGUAGCAUUUGAUUAACAUCUGUGUUUGUUAUGACGUAAAAAAAUUCCAUCAAUUUUUACUAUUUCUUCACUGUCAUACACUUUGUUGAAUGAAGACAUUCAUAGAGAUGACAGACAACCUGAAAUAAACUAUCAUCAUUUUA
Long non-coding RNA from Osmerus eperlanus (European smelt), 1461 nucleotides. RefSeq lists it as uncharacterized. The record is from RefSeq and is a predicted model, not a curated record. NCBI's taxonomy places the organism in Eukaryota, Metazoa, Chordata, Actinopteri, Osmeriformes, Osmeridae. The transcript has 4 exons.